UAAAAAAAAAAGUAAUUAUAUUAUUCACUUAUUUUAAUUAAAUUAUUUAAGCUUUUCUCUAAAUCUUCCUCCUCAACCUAAAAAACCCUAACGUUGUUUCCAUAACUUCCCUCUUCAAUCUUCAUCAACCAACCUCAGCCCCUUCCCGUUGACCACCGCCGAGCUCUCGCCAUCUUCCAGUCGACCGUCGUCGAGCUCACACCAUCUUAAGUUUUCCACCAUGAAUGCGCAAAGAGAUCACGAUGAAAUCAUGGGUUCAGCUCGAAAUUUUACUGAAGAAGAGAGGACAGAGUAUAAGGAGAUUAUGUGGGACGACAAGGAGCUUUGAUACCUUGUACGGUUCGACUUUGCCCUCACGAUCUAUUCGUCAAUAAUAUUUGCAGUGAUCUUGAUUGUCUUUAGUUGCCUUGUUGUUGAUCCAAGGAUAUUAGUUUGCCUUGUUGUUACUACAGUAGUACAGUUACAGUUUUAUAGACUGUUAGUACAGAAUACAAAUGUACAAUACUCUAUUGUUCUUGAACGCUAUGAACGUAGAUGAGUCAAGCACUACAGUUUGAGCUGAACUUGUUCAUUUGCCGAGCUUGAGAUUUUUGUUUGUGUUUUAUAUUCUUAAAAAGUGAGUCUUGACCUAGCUUGUUCUUUAGGGAUGGUUCAGACGAUUUUCGUGCUCCAUAUGCCAUAAAAAUUUUAGGAAAAGAGGUGACACGUGAUGAAAUGAGAAUACUGUGUGCUUUGCAAUAUGUUAUAGGUGUGUAUUUGUCUUUUAAUUUUAGAUGGUGCAUCAGUUGGUGUAUAUUGGUUCAUUGCAGUUGGUUGAUAAGAUAGCUAGGCUCAGCUUGAAGUUGUUUGACAUGAUGGUGCAUUACCAUUUUUUAACGUUUUGGCAUGGCAUACCUGUUGCGUAGUUGAAUUUGGAUAAAUGUGUUUUAGGUUGGUGCUAAAUCUCCUUGUUAUCAGAUGACAUUGUGUUAAUGAUCUUUUGACUUAAUUUGAUAGAUUUGAUAAUUGAAGAGUAAUGCAGAUGCAGCUGCUGCAGCCGCUAGUUGUCAUACAAAGUCCAACAUAUUAUCAUAAAGUAAACAUGACUAGUUGUAGAACUAGAUCUUCUUGUAUUCAUUAAAUUGUCGUAAAUAUUGAAAGGCUUAAGAAUAUGGCAAAGCCUAUAUUUUAUACUUGUAUUCAUUUGUGAAAGACCUAAUUACCUUUUUUUUUUGCAUAAAUGUACCUUAGACUUUAAGGGUACACCUCCCCCUAAGGUUAUUCUAACCAUUUUGUGUUGUCUAGAGCCUAGUUAUUCAAAAUCGGAAUCGGUUCGGACUGAAUUGGGUGUUCGGCCUUCCGAGUUGUUAAACAUAGCUAAUUUAGUUUUGAUUCUUUUGAAGUUUUUUGAAUAACUUGAUGUCUCUUUAAUAUCCACAUUUGAUUGAUAUGUUUUGUUGGGUACCUUUGUCUACAACCAGAAGUAAAUGUCAGAGAACUCUUGUUUGCACCAUGUAAGCUCUAUUGGAGGUUUCCUUUGCUUCUCUCCCUUGUGCUGGAAGCCUUGAAGUUGAAGGGCUCAACUGUGAUAAGUCUGAUAACAUUUAAAGAUAAGAAAUAUGGAAAAAUGUUCCUCAGCUGGUUCACUUAAUAUCUUGAGUAACUGAGCUUGACAAAGAUCAUGUUAUUGCCUGUUAUAAAUAAUCUUUCAACUUCUGUUUGUUGUGGUCAGUCUUCAGUUGUGAAAUCUCUUCAUCCAUGCAACGGUGCUGAUUUUUUUUCCCUCUUAAUAA
This is a long non-coding RNA of Spinacia oleracea (spinach), 1772 nucleotides long. RefSeq lists it as uncharacterized. Lineage: Eukaryota; Viridiplantae; Streptophyta; Magnoliopsida; Caryophyllales; Amaranthaceae. The record is from RefSeq and is a predicted model, not a curated record. The transcript has 2 exons.